RNAcentral lists this ribosomal RNA (1605 nucleotides) under Triticum aestivum (bread wheat). RNAcentral describes it as "partial small subunit ribosomal RNA". The record is from RNAcentral. Lineage: Eukaryota; Viridiplantae; Streptophyta; Magnoliopsida; Poales; Poaceae.
AUGGAUCCAGGCGGCGCCGCCGCCGCCAAGCUUGCGGUGUGGUGCUGGAUGUGGGGGAUGCACGACAACUCGGACGACGCGGGCGACGGCAAUAAGCAGUUNNNNNNNNNNNNNNNNNNNNNNNNNNNNNNNNNNNNGCGUAUGCCCGGGGAGUUUGGAAGCCACUUGAUGAAUAUAACCCCUGAGUCUGAUCUUGUCAAACUUGUAGCUCACGACGAACCUAUUUCUGACUCUAAUCAAUGUGAAGCAAAUGGGGGUUCAGCGAGCGAUACUGAUAUGCAACUUGAAGUGACCUUGAGCACCUUGGCUAUUCAAUUCUUUUGCCGCUUUUAUGAGAAUGUCCACAUGCGUGGUUUGACUUGGCAGGAUGAUGAGUAUAUGCAAUGGGUCUCUGGAUACCAUCACAUAGAGCGAACCAAAGGCCUUUCUGCCAGGUUUAUGAAUGAGCUCAUUGGAGUUGGAUGCUACUCUUAUUUCCCCUUUGGACCAUUUGGGCCAGGAAGCACUGUGAUCACUAUUCCUGAAAGUGCAUGGGCUGAAAUUUCUGUUGGGCUUCAGAGCAUGCUCAUAACUAUGCUUGACUCUUUUCUUCGGCCUGAACAUUCCAAUGCUAUGGGCUUGAAUAAUUCUGCUUGUACUUUACCACCUGAAUCUGUAUGUGUGUUGGUUGAUGUUGCAGUGUCUUCAAGUGUGUUGGCCGAUGUUGCAGUGUCUGACACUUCUAUGUUUGAUGCUGCUAUGCCGGAAUUUGCUACAGUGUCUGAAGGUGUGAUGGCUGCUGCUGUAGUAUCUAAUACUGCAGUGUCUGAUGGUAUUAUGGCUACUGCUGCAGUGUCUGAUACUGCAGUAUCUGCACGUGUUUUGAACUCUACUGCAGUGCCUGAUGUUAUGACUGAUAUCCAUGAAGCUGCCGGUGGCAAUACUGUUAAGAAGAGGAGCAGAUCAGAGGUUGCGGUGGUGACUGAACAUGGUCGAGGACCGCACAGUGACAAGGAGGGAUGUGCGCCAAUGGAGCUCCCAUCUGAGAAUCCUAAAAGGAAGAAAUCUUCUGUUGUGAUGACCACAGGCCAACAGUGCCUUCAGAUUUCAGCAGUGCAGCAAAUGGGGGUUGAACAGUGUGGUAUUGAAGUCUGUUCCAACAAUCUCAUGGGACCUUCUCAGCGUCCCUAUAUUCUACCCAAGAAGACAACUCUACCUAGUGAAUUGGAGAAAAAAGUAAAGGAGAAAGUCAAGACUAUUCAAUCUAAACUUCCCAUCUUCGUGAGAGAGUUGAAAACAUACUCUGUUGUUGGCACAGGCCAAGGAGGAUGUGCUCUGGUCUUUUGCAAGGAAUUUGCUUCGGCAUGUGGCCUCCCGCACACAAAGAAAACAACCAUACAUCUUCAGCUGGAGGACAAAACGAAGGGGCCAUGGCCUGUCACGUUAAUCCGCAGUGAGCAUAACAGCAACCAGAGGUGGCUUACCACGGGGUGGAACAAAUUUGUCACGGACAAUGGCCUGAAGAAAGGAGAUGCCUGCCUCUUCCAGCCAGACAAGAGCAACAACACUCAGGGCCUUUCGAUGACUGUUUAUCUGAUUCGCAAGUCGUCGGAAAAGGAGCUGUAG